UCCUACGGGGCGCAGCAGUGAGGAAUAUUGGUCAAUGGACGAGAGUCUGAACCAGCCAAGUAGCGUGAAGGAUGACUGCCCUAUGGGUUGUAAACUUCUUUUAUAUGGGAAUAAAACAGGGUAUGCAUACCCUCUUGUAUGUACCAUAUGAAUAAGGAUCGGCUAACUCCGUGCCAGCAGCCGCGGUAAUACGUAGGGAGCAAGCGUUAUCCGGAUUUAUUGGGUGUAAAGGGUGCGUAGACGGGAAAACAAGUUAGUUGUGAAAUCCCUCGGCUUAACU
Molecule: ribosomal RNA, 280 nt
Filed under: uncultured bacterium
Lineage: Bacteria
Description: partial 16S ribosomal RNA
Rfam family: Bacterial small subunit ribosomal RNA
Source: RNAcentral